CCUACGGGAGGCAGCAGUGGGGAAUAUUGCACAAUGGGGGAAACCCUGAUGCAGCGACGCCGCGUGAGUGAAGAAGUAUUUCGGUAUGUAAAGCUCUAUCAGCAGGGAAGAAAAAAGACGGUACAUGACUAAGAAGCCCCGGCUAAUUAGGUGCCAGCAGCCGCGGUAAUCCUUAGGGGGCAAGCGUUAUCCGGAUUUACUGGGUGUAAAGGGAGCGUAGACGGCGCGGCAAGUCGUGAGGGAAAGGCAGGGGCUUAACCCCUGAACUGCUUUGGAACCUGCCAUGCUAGGGUGCUGGAGAGGUAAGUGGAAGUCCUAGUGUAGCGGUGAAAUGCGUAGAUAUUAGGAGGAACACCAGUGGCGAAGGCGGCUUACUGGACAGUAACUGACGUUGAGGCUCGAAAGCGUGGGGAGCAAACAGGAUUAGAUACCCCGGUAGUC
RNAcentral lists this ribosomal RNA (441 nucleotides) under uncultured bacterium. RNAcentral describes it as "partial 16S ribosomal RNA". It matches the Rfam family "Bacterial small subunit ribosomal RNA", at positions 338 to 795 of the family's 1533-position model. The record is from RNAcentral.